This is a long non-coding RNA of Mus musculus (house mouse), 848 nucleotides long. RefSeq annotates it as predicted gene, 34177. The record is from RefSeq and is a predicted model, not a curated record. NCBI's taxonomy places the organism in Eukaryota, Metazoa, Chordata, Mammalia, Rodentia, Muridae. The transcript has 3 exons.
CCUGCCUUCUGCAUUCCCUCAGUCUGCUGAGGACCAAGAGGGAAUCUCUGGGAAGUCAGUGGCUCAUGGGAUCAGGCUGAGGCUCAGGAACAGUUCAACAUGUUGUCUGAAUCCAUGCAUCCAUGCAGGAUCCAGGAGUAAGCUAAGAGCUGGACACCUAAUAUGGUCAAUGCCGGAGGCCCGAGGACCAUAUCAAAUGGCCAGAAUUGUAGCUCCCGAUAUUACGUAAGAAAUGACUUCAACAAUAUCUAAGCAUCCAUCUAAUCUCCUAGGAGGAAUCUUUGGUUUGAGGUCAAGGCUUCUAUUGUUGGAGUUAAAAGCUUACAAGGGCAUCAUUUAGGAGCUGGGUUCAGCUGUAAUGUUCCUGGGACAACCCUCACAAGAGCUCGAGCUUGGUGUGAACAGUCACCAGAAAUGAAUCCUAGGAGGGAAUCUCCCCAUAACCAUGGGUUCAGACUGCCCAUUCCCUGUUGGAGUUGACUUUGGGCUCCCCUGGCUACUCUCCUUCCUGAAUCUACAGAUGCACACACCGGAAGUUAGGAGCCCUUUCUAGCAGGUGAUGGCUGUCUACCAUCUUGGAAUCAUGGUGACAAAGGAGUCACGGUAUCUUCCUUCUAAGUGCAGCCUGUGUUAUGGUCUAACAACUACUCUGACUCUACACUGUCUGGUGGUUCUGUAUGUGUGGUGGGUGCUUGCUUGGUAAGACACCAUCUGUGAACGCACCUAUUGGAGGAAACACCUACAAUGUAAAGCAUGAGCUUCGAGGUCGAAAAUCUGUGUGUUCCCGUCAUUUCAGCAUUUGCUGUUUUCUAGCUGUGUGGCCAGAAGAAAGCCUCCUACUGGAUCUC